Molecule: ribosomal RNA, 468 nt
Filed under: uncultured bacterium
Lineage: Bacteria
Description: partial 16S ribosomal RNA
Rfam family: Bacterial small subunit ribosomal RNA
Source: RNAcentral
GACGAACGCUGGCGGCGUGCUUAACACAUGCAAGUCGAACGGAAAGGCCCUGCUUUUGUGGGGUGCUCGAGUGGCGAACGGGUGAGUAACACGUGAGUAACCUGCCCUUGACUUUGGGAUAACUUCAGGAAACUGGGGCUAAUGCCGGAUAGGAGCUCCUGCUGCAUGGUGGGGGUUGGAAAGUUUCGGCGGUUGGGGAUGGACUCGCGGCUUAUCAGCUUGUUGGUGGGGUAGUGGCUUACCAAGGCUUUGACGGGUAGCCGGCCUGAGAGGGUGACCGGCCACAUUGGGACUGAGAUACGGCCCAGACUCCUACGGGAGGCAGCAGUGGGGAAUAUUGCACAAUGGACGGAAGCCUGAUGCAGCAACGCCGCGUGCGGGAUGACGGCCUUCGGGUUGUAAACCGCUUUCGCCUGUGACGAAGCGUGAGUGACGGUAAUGGGUAAAGAAGCACCGGCUAACUACGUG